GAGAAAGCUCGCAUGAACCGAUUGGCUCCGAAGCAAAAAUCUGAAUGAGUGGAUGCACACUACCAUCUUAUAUACCCUUAUGUACGGGGAAAGGCUUGGCAUGCAAAUACCACUUGCCAAUUGUCACUGGCCAUUUCUCGUAAUGCUCAGAGGUGAUUUGGGCUCCCAAGUAAGACCUCUAACGUCAGUGUAGAAUUGACUGGCUGAAAGGGAAAUGGUGUUAUGAGAAACAAACAGAAAAUUGUAAAUAAAAGAACAAAAAUAAUAAGGAUUUCAGAUAUAACACAGCACAGGAUAUUUAAAUAUGCAGAAUGAUGAAUAGCAUUCAAGAGCUUGAGGAACAUUUUCAGUGAAUAACAAAAUUUCAGUCUGUUCCUCAUGCAAAGCUAUUGAAUGGCAUAUGGUGGACAAGACAUAUGGACCACUAUUUUGGUACUUCACUGGUGUUUUUUUACCUUUUUUGGAACUUUGUAUGGAGACAAGCUGCAUGAACAUUCUCAGAAUAACAAUAUAUGGAAAGAGAGUGAAUAAAUAGUUUCCAUUUUUGGGAUUUGCUCCUGGACAGCUGAAGCAGAGCCAAAUCCAAAGAGGAACAUAAACGAGAGGGAAACUUGCUGUGCAUUGUGAAUCUCACAGACUCAACCAAACAGCACACUUCCACGUUUCACACCAGUCUGGCUUAAACAUGCUGAUUUUUCACAUAUAUUCAGCGGUUUAAUGCUGUGAAAGUUCUGCAACAAUACCAGUAUCAUCCCCAAAGCUGACUAUGGGAAAACUAAAAGCCCUUGGAAAAAGGAGGUAUUCAGAUAUGUAGCUAUUUAUAUUAUAAGAAUUAUGACUGUUGCUUUGAGAUAACGUCAGUCUGUUGAGUACUAGUGCAAAUGUUCAGCUGGUGGCCAUGAAUAAAUGGCCCACUUAACUCUUCUUAUAAUAAAUUAGCAAAUUAAAUCAUUUAAUUAAUUAAACUAAUGUAUGUUUAGAAGCAGGCUUAACUGAACAUGACAACAUCAAGCUGAUGGGCAGAAUAAAGGGUCAAAGUUACUUUGUGUUACAAAGUUACAAAGUAACACUUGAGCACCCUUACAGGGACAGUUCACCCAAACAUGAAAAUUUUGUCAUCAUUUUCUCACCCUAAAGUUGUUCCAAACCCGUAUGAGUUUUCUCUUUUUU
This is a long non-coding RNA of Cyprinus carpio carpio, 1170 nucleotides long. The record is from Ensembl. NCBI's taxonomy places the organism in Eukaryota, Metazoa, Chordata, Actinopteri, Cypriniformes, Cyprinidae.